RNAcentral lists this transfer RNA (74 nucleotides) under Cordylochernes scorpioides. RNAcentral describes it as "tRNA-Thr". The record is from RNAcentral. Lineage: Eukaryota; Metazoa; Arthropoda; Arachnida; Pseudoscorpiones; Chernetidae.
UGUCCAGGGAUGGGAAUCGAACCCACAGUUUUCCGCUUACCAGGCAGAUGCUACUACUACUAGGCUACCCUGUG